RNAcentral lists this ribosomal RNA (253 nucleotides) under uncultured bacterium. Its description in RNAcentral is "partial 16S ribosomal RNA". It matches the Rfam family "Bacterial small subunit ribosomal RNA", at positions 524 to 776 of the family's 1533-position model. The record is from RNAcentral.
UACGUAGGGAGCAAGCGUUGUCCGGAAUUAUUGGGCGUAAAGGGCUCGUAGGCGGUUUGUCGCGUCGGGAGUGAAAACUCAGGGCUUAACCCUGAGCCUGCUUCCGAUACGGGCAGACUAGAGGUAUGCAGGGGAGAACGGAAUUCCUGGUGUAGCGGUGAAAUGCGCAGAUAUCAGGAGGAACACCGGUGGCGAAGGCGGUGCUCUGGGCAUUACCUGACGCUGAGGAGCGAAAGUGUGGGGAGCGAACAGG